RNAcentral lists this ribosomal RNA (429 nucleotides) under Chloroflexota bacterium. RNAcentral's name for it is "Chloroflexi bacterium partial 16S ribosomal RNA". It matches the Rfam family "Bacterial small subunit ribosomal RNA", at positions 355 to 776 of the family's 1533-position model. Lineage: Bacteria; Bacillati; Chloroflexota. The record is from RNAcentral.
UGGGGAAUAUUGCACAAUGGGCGCAAGCCUGAUGCAGCCAUGCCGCGUGUGUGAAGAAGGCCUUCGGGUUGUAAAGCACUUUCAGCGGGGAGGAAGGCGAUAAGGUUAAUAACCUUGUCGAUUGACGUUACCCGCAGAAGAAGCACCGGCUAACUCCGUGCCAGCAGCCGCGGUAAUACGGAGGGUGCAAGCGUUAAUCGGAAUUACUGGGCGUAAAGCGCACGCAGGCGGUCUGUCAAGUCGGAUGUGAAAUCCCCGGGCUCAACCUGGGAACUGCAUCUGAUACUGGCAAGCUUGAGUCUCGUAGAGAGGGGUAGAAUUCCAGGUGUAGCGGUGAAAUGCGUAGAGAUCUGGAGGAAUACCGGUGGCGAAGGCGGCCCCCUGGACGAAGACUGACGCUCAGGUGCGAAAGCGUGGGGAGCAAACAGG